This 68-nucleotide transfer RNA is filed under the name Ixodes scapularis (black-legged tick). RNAcentral's name for it is "tRNA-Ser". The stretch from base 8 to 64 matches the Rfam family "tRNA", at positions 9 to 63 of the family's 71-position model. Rfam says of the family: Transfer RNA (tRNA) molecules are approximately 80 nucleotides in length. The record is from RNAcentral. Lineage: Eukaryota; Metazoa; Arthropoda; Arachnida; Ixodida; Ixodidae.
UAUGACAAGCUGAGUUGGUAGAGCGCUCCACUGGAAAUGGAGAGGUCCCUAGUUCGAUACCAGGAUAA